CUGAAGUGGCAGUGGGGCAGCGAAAGGGGGAAGUGAAGGGAGGGAGGAAAGGAGCCGAGAAUAUAGAGAAGCAAGGGGGAAGUGAGAGGAUCAUGGGACUCUCUCUGAAUGAAAAGUAGAAGCGGUCCUGUGGCCAGGGCCGUGGUGGCAGAUGAGCUGGUGCUUUGCUGACCUGUGUCUUCUGAGCUUUGUGCGCCUUGGAUUUCCCAGAAAUACAGCUGUCUGUGAUUUUUUUUUUCAUGGAACCAGCAUGGUCACUUUCCUCCUGUUUCUGAAGAUGCUCCAGAAGAGACAGCAAAAAUGAGAAGAGAAAAAGAAAGUAUUGGAGAAUUAGGAUAAGAAAUAGCUUCCCUAACUUCCCUGAUUCCAUGAUGAGGAGAAACUGGGAGGAAGUGAACGAAGUUGAAUCACACUGUGUGGCAGUUCCACCUGGGGCAGCCUGGAAAGCAGGCUGGGCACUAGAGGUGGAGAAACUGUCUUGCACACCUGAGAGUCGCCAUGAAGAGAAACAUCAGUGGCCCAACAAUGACUGGACAAAAAGUACCAAAGCAGCCUGAGCUGCUGGAGAUGUUAUGGCAGAGAAACACUAGCAUAGGA
This is a long non-coding RNA of Canis lupus familiaris (dog), 597 nucleotides long. RefSeq lists it as uncharacterized. The transcript is spliced from 3 exons. NCBI's taxonomy places the organism in Eukaryota, Metazoa, Chordata, Mammalia, Carnivora, Canidae. The record is from RefSeq and is a predicted model, not a curated record.